This 492-nucleotide ribosomal RNA is filed under the name uncultured bacterium. RNAcentral describes it as "partial 16S ribosomal RNA". It matches the Rfam family "Bacterial small subunit ribosomal RNA", at positions 29 to 507 of the family's 1533-position model. The record is from RNAcentral.
AGUGAACGCUGGCGGUAGGCCUAACACAUGCAAGUCGAACGGCAGCACAGUAAGAGCUUGCUCUUGCGGGUGGCGAGUGGCGGACGGGUGAGGAAUACAUCGGAAUCUACUUUUUCGUGGGGGAUAACGUAGGGAAACUUACGCUAAUACCGCAUACGACCUACGGGUGAAAGCAUGGGAUCUUCGGACCUUGCGCGAUUGAAUGAGCCGAUGUCGGAUUAGCUAGUUGGCGGGGUAAAGGCCCACCAAGGCGACGAUCCGUAGCUGGUCUGAGAGGAUGAUCAGCCACACUGGAACUGAGACACGGUCCAGACUCCUACGGGAGGCAGCAGUGGGGAAUAUUGGACAAUGGGCGCAAGCCUGAUCCAGCCAUACCGCGUGGGUGAAGAAGGCCUUCGGGUUGUAAAGCCCUUUUGUUGGGAAAGAAAAGCAGCAGGUUAAUACCCCGCUGUUCUGACGGUACCCAAAGAAUAAGCACCGGCUAACUUCGUG